RNAcentral lists this ribosomal RNA (478 nucleotides) under uncultured bacterium. Its description in RNAcentral is "partial 16S ribosomal RNA". It matches the Rfam family "Bacterial small subunit ribosomal RNA", at positions 38 to 507 of the family's 1533-position model. The record is from RNAcentral.
GGGGGGGGGGGGGGGGGGGCGGGGCGCAGGCAGGGCGGACGGGGGGUGUGUGGGAGUUCGUUCGGGGGGGGGGAGGGGAGGAAAGUGGCGAACGGGGGAGUAACACGUGAGCAACCUACCUGACACAGGGGGAUAGCCGUUGGAAACGACGAUUAAGACCGCAUGAGACCACCGAAGCGCAUGAUAUAGGGGUCACAAAUGUAUCGGCGGAAGAAGGACUCGCGACUGAUUCGCGAGUUGGCAGGGGAAAGGCCUACCAAGGCGACGAUCAGCAGCCGGUCUGAGAGGAUGAGCGGCGACAGUGGAACGGAGCCACGGUCCGAGCUCCCACGGGAGGCAGCAGUGGGGAAUAUUGCCCAAUGGGGGGAACCCUGAUGCACCGCCGCCGCGUGAGCGAAGAUGGUUUUCAAAUCGAACAGCUCUGUCAUAUGCGAAGAUACUGACGGUACCAUAGGAGGAAGCCCCGGCUAAAUACGUG